AGAGAGAACAACAGGAGGACAGUAGAGAGAGAGAGAGAACAACAGGAGGACAGUAGAGAGAGAGAGAGAACAACAGGAGGACAGUAGAGAGAGAGAGAACAACAGGAGGACAGUAGAGAGAGAGAGAGAGAACAACAGGACAGUAGAGAGAGAGAGAGAACAACAGGAGGACAGUAGAGAGAGAGAACAACAGGAGGACAGUAGAGAGAGAGAGAGAACAACAGGAGGACAGUAGAGAGAGAGAACAACAGGAGGACAGUAGAGAGAGAGAGAGAACAACAGGACAGUAGAGAGAGAGAGAGAACAACAGGACAAACAACAGGAGGAACAACAGGAGGACUGUAGAGAGAGAGAGAGAACAACAGGAGGACAGUAGAGAGAGAGAGAACAACAGGAGGACAGUAGAGAGAGAGAGAGAACAACAGGACAGUAGAGAGAGAGAGAGAACAACAGGAGGACAGUAGAGAGAGAGAGAGAACAACAGGAGGACAGUAGAGAGAGAGAACAACAGGAGGACAGUAGAGAGAGAGAGAGAACAACAGGAGGACAGUAGAGAGAGAGAGAACAACAGGAGGAUAGUAGAGAGAGAGAACAACAGGAGGACAGUAGAGAGAGAGAGAACAACAGGAGGACAGUAGAGAGAGAGAGAACAACAGGAGGACAGUAGAGAGAGAGAGAGAACAACAGGACAGUAGAGAGAGAGAGAGAACAACAGGAGGACUGUAGAGAGAGAGAACAACAGGAGGACAGUAGAGAGAGAGAGAACAACAGGAGGACAGUAGAGAGAGAGAGAACAACAGGAGGACAAUAGAGAGAGAGAGAGAACAACAGGAGGACAGUAGAGAGAGAGAGAGAACAACAGGAGGACAGUAGAGAGAGAGAGAGAACAACAGGAGGACAGUAGAGAGAGAGAACAACAGGAGGACAGUAGAGAGAGAGGGAGAAUAACAGGAGGACAGUAGAGAGAGAGAGAGAACAACAGGAGGACAGUAGAGAGAGAGAACAACAGGAGGACAGUAGAGAGAGAGAGAACAACAGGAAGACAGUAGAGAGAGAGAGAACAACAGGAGGACAGUAGAGAGAGAGAGAGAACAACAGGAGGACAGUAGAGAGAGAGAGAGAACAACAGGAAGACAGUAGAGAGAGAACAACAGGAGGACAGACAGUAGAGAGAGAGAACAACAGGAGGACAGUAGAGAGAGAACAACAGGAGGACAGUAGAGAGAGAGAGAGAACAACAGGAGGACAGUAGAGAGAGAGAGAGAGAACAACAGGAGGACAGUAGAGAGAGAGAGAGAACAACAGGAAGACAAGAGAGAGAGAGAACAACAGGAGGACAGUAGAGAGAGAGAACAACAGGAGGAUAGUAGAGAGAGAGAGAGAACAACAGGAGGACAGUAGAGAGAGAGAGAGAACAACAGGAGGACAGUAGAGAGGGGGACCAACAGGAGGACAGUAGAGAGAGAGAACAACAGGAGGAUAGUAGAGAGAGAGAGAGAACAACAGGAGGACAGUAGAGAGAGAGAGAACAACAGGAGGACAAUAGAGAGAGAGAGAGAACAACAGGAGGACAGUAGAGAGAGAGAGAACAAUAGGAGGACAGUAGAGAGAGAGAGAACAACAGGAGGACAGUAGAGAGAGAGAGAACAACAGGAGGACAGUAGAGAGAGAGAACAACAGGAGGACAGUAGAGAGAGAGAGAACAACAGGAGGACAGUAGAGAGAGAGAGAGAACAACAGGACAGUAGAGAGAGAGAGAGAACAACAGGAGGACAGUAGAGAGAGAGAGAGAACAACAGGAGGACAGUAGAGAGAGAGAGAACAACAGGAGGACAGUAGAGAGAGAGAGAGAACAACAGGAGGACAGUAGAGAGAGAGAGAACAACAGGAGGACAGUAGAGAGAGAGAGAACAACAGGAGGACAGUAGAGAGAGAGAGAACAACAGGA
This is a long non-coding RNA of Oncorhynchus tshawytscha (Chinook salmon), 1948 nucleotides long. The record is from Ensembl. Lineage: Eukaryota; Metazoa; Chordata; Actinopteri; Salmoniformes; Salmonidae.